CCUACGGGAGGCAGCAGUGGGGAAUAUUGCACAAUGGGGGAAACCCUGAUGCAGCGACGCCGCGUGAGCGAAGAAGUAUUUCGGUAUGUAAAGCUCUAUCAGCAGGGAAGAAAAUGACGGUACCUGACUAAGAAGCUCCGGCUAAAUACGUGCCAGCAGCCGCGGUAAUACGUAUGGAGCAAGCGUUAUCCGGAUUUACUGGGUGUAAAGGGAGCGUAGGCGGUAAGGCAAGUCUGAUGUGAAAGGCCAGGGCUCAACCCUGGGACUGCAUUGGAAACUGUUUAACUGGAGUGUCGGAGAGGCAAGUGGAAUUCCUAGUGUAGCGGUGAAAUGCGUAGAUAUUAGGAGGAACACCAGUGGCGAAGGCGGCUUGCUGGACGAUGACUGACGCUGAGGCUCGAAAGCGUGGGGAGCAAACAGGAUUAGAUACCCGAGUAGUC
Molecule: ribosomal RNA, 440 nt
Filed under: uncultured bacterium
Lineage: Bacteria
Description: partial 16S ribosomal RNA
Rfam family: Bacterial small subunit ribosomal RNA
Source: RNAcentral